GCAAGAUAAAAACCCAAUUUAUUUUAAACAUUUCUCUUCAUCCCAUAUUUCCGAUAGUCACACGCCGCUGCGUUCGUGGCCUUCUGACGAAAAAAAACGUCCACCGCCACCGAUCUGCCGCCUAAGAUGCCGAUGACUCUAGAAGAACUUUCGGAUUCACAGACCUCAACGGAAACCUACUUAGAGGAAAAGUCUUCAGCCUCCACAUCCGCCGUCUUGCUCGACGCCGCCGGUAACCAUAUCAUCACCUUCCAGCAGAAGGAGAUGACAGGUUUUCAGAGGAGAACAGAUUCAAAGAAUAUGCUUUUUUUAGUGUGAGAAAGUCAUCGAUGAUUCAGUUCAAGACGAAGCUGGAUAUGUCCAAGGUUGCUAAUUCCAAAGAGGAUCGCUGUGAUUUUAGGAUUGAAGGCAGCUGGUUUGAGCGAUCAUGAGCCAUAUACGCCAGAGACACCAAUAGUGUCAUUGCUCAACUUUACUCAAUGGAUUCUACUACUAAUUGGCUUCAUUCGAUCUUUGUUGAGGUAAUUCUGCAUCUAAGAGCCUUACCACUGUUAUGUGAUUUGCACAACUAACAUACCCCUUGACAAAUUGUUUGGGUUUUAUAUUUUCUUAGUAACAAGUAUUUUAUAUGAUGUUGUUGGAAAACUCCAUGUUUCUACACAAUAUUGUGAGUGAUCAAAGGCCUAAACUAUUGAAAAGUAGAAGUGAACAGAUGCCUAAGUUAUGAUAUACCCUAAGGAGCUCAAAACAAGGAAUUUGCACCCUUCUUCAUUCAGAUUUUACAAUUUUGAAUGCCAAGAAAGCCGUUGUCAAAUUCGACCUUUUCAAACAUGGCACCAAAACUAAAUUGUUGUAGGUGUUUACAAAGACAAAGUAUGAGGCUUACUCUAAUAUUAAGUAGUAACUCUCAGGAUGUAUUUCGGAUUACUCCCAGCUGCUAUUUCACUUAUAGCAAGAAAAUGUCGACGGCUCCUCCGAUGUUAUUCAAACGAACGGAUGUUCGAAGACGGUGGUGCGGAUAGAGGCGAGCAUACUCGGAGAAACAAACUGCUGCAUUGGUAGAACAAGUGAAAAGCCUUUAGUCAACAAUUCCUACAAAUGAAAAGAAGCUAAGGAUAGAUUAAGCAAUGCAGACUGUAUGAAGUGUGUAAAACAAUUUUAUUUAAUUGAAUACAUUUCUGAAUUCCAUUUA
Molecule: long non-coding RNA, 1192 nt
Organism: Salvia splendens (bonfire salvia)
Lineage: Eukaryota; Viridiplantae; Streptophyta; Magnoliopsida; Lamiales; Lamiaceae
Exons: 6
Source: RefSeq, a predicted model, not a curated record